This is a long non-coding RNA of Melanotaenia boesemani (Boeseman's rainbowfish), 96 nucleotides long. RefSeq lists it as uncharacterized. The record is from RefSeq and is a predicted model, not a curated record. The transcript has 4 exons. NCBI's taxonomy places the organism in Eukaryota, Metazoa, Chordata, Actinopteri, Atheriniformes, Melanotaeniidae.
UUAAAAUUAAUCCUGAAACACACGGGGAGCCAAUGCAGCAAUUGUAAGACUGGCGUAAUGUGUUCCUGUCAUUAUCUGUGGUGUGGGGCUCAUUUU